CGUCCAUUCUUUGAUGUUGCAGGAGUUCAAAGAAAAACCACAAGAAGAGUCGAAGAGGAAGCGAGUGACUGUCCUGGGCUCCUCCUCCUUCCUUCUCCUCCUCCUUCCUCCUCCUUCCUUCUCCCCCUCCUUCAGUCAUGUCUUAUGAACAUCUGAACUGUGUUUUGUUGAGUUUUGAGGUGAUGUGGAUCCAUGGACCCGGUCCAGGUCUCUGUCUGGGGUUGAACCUCGUCAUGUGGUGAAAAGCCUCAUUCCUUCAGGUAACCUUUGACCUUUGGGAUCCAAAUACGUAAAAAACCUAAAUGUGUGUGAGUUUCCACUGACAUGAUUUGUAUAAAUAAACCCUGGUUCAUUUGA
Long non-coding RNA from Sphaeramia orbicularis (orbiculate cardinalfish), 357 nucleotides. RefSeq lists it as uncharacterized. NCBI's taxonomy places the organism in Eukaryota, Metazoa, Chordata, Actinopteri, Kurtiformes, Apogonidae. The record is from RefSeq and is a predicted model, not a curated record. The transcript has 2 exons.